UUUUGUUGUUAAGGGCUUAGGGUGGAUGCCUUGGCACAUGGGAGCGAUGAAAGACGUGGGAGGCUGCGAUAAGCCUCGGGGAGCUGUCAACCGAGCUGUGAUCCGAGGGUGUCUGAAUGAGGAAACUCACUGGGUAGGAAUGCCUGGUACUCAAACUUUGUUUGGGGGCGUACGUAGGGAAGUGAAACAUCUCAGUACCUACAGGAAAAGAUAUUCCGUUAGUAGUGGCGAGCGAAAGCGGAGGAGACCAAACCGGUUGUGUGUGAUACUUGUCAGGGGUUGCAUGAUCGGUGUUGUGGGAUGUUGUCGUACUGGUUCUGACAGGCUGGUGGCAAGUGAUAAAACAGGGUGUGAGCUGAACAGGAUUGAAUGCCUGGCUGUAGAGGGUGAUGGCCCCGUAGGUGUAAAUGCUUUGUCUUGUUGAUGAUGGUCCCAAGUAGCACGAUACUCGAGGAAUUUCGUGUGAAUCUGCCCAGACCGUUGGGUAAGUCUAAAUAUAUCCAUGUGACCGAUAGUGGACGAGUACCGUGAGGGAAAGGUGAAAAGUAGUCCGGGAGGACAGUGAAAUAGUUUCUGAAACCGUGAGCUUACAAUCCGUCGGAGCCUUGAGGGGUGACGGCGUGCCUAUCGAAAAAUGAGUCUGCGAGUUAGUGGUAUGUAGCGAGGUUAACCCGUGUGGGGGAUCCGUAGCGAAAGCGAGUUUUAAAAGGCGUUUGAGUUGCAUACUCUAGACCCGAAGCGGGAUGAUCUAUCCUUGAGCAGGUUGAAGCAGGGGUAAGACUUUGUGGAGGACCGAACGCACCUAGGUUGAAAACUGGGGCGAUGACUUGUGGAUAGGGGUGAAAGGCCAAUCAAAUUCCGUGAUAGCUGGUUCUCUCCGAAAUGCAUUUAGGUGCAGCGUCGGUUUUAGUUUCCAGGGGGUAGAGCUACUGGAUGCUUGCGGGCUCGUAUGGGGUACCAAUAGCAGCCAAACUCCGAAUACCUGUGAAGUGGUGGCCGGCAGUGAGUCAGCGGGGGAUAAGCUUCGUUGUCGAAAGGGAAACAGCCCAGAUCGUCGUCUAAGGUCCCUAAGCGUGUGCUAAGUGGGAAAGGAUGUGGAGUCGCAUAGACAGCCAGGAGGUUGGCUUAGAAGCAGCCAUCCUUGAAAGAGUGCGUAACAGCUCACUGGUCUAGUGGUUCCGCGCCGACAAUGUAGCGGGGCUCAAGCACACCACCGAAGACGCGACAAUCAGUUUAUACUGGUUGGGUAGGAGAGCGUUGUCUACUGGGGUGAAGCAGGCGUGGAAACGUUUGUGGACUGUAGACAAGUGAGAAUGCAGACAUGAGUAACGAAAGACGGGUGAAAAUCCCGUCCGCUGGAUGACUAAGGGUUCCAGGGCCACGUUCAUCGUCCCUGGGUGAGUCGGGUCCUAAGGCGAGGCCGACAGGCGUAGUCGAUUGGAUGAAGGAGUUGAUAUUCUCCUACCAGUGUAUUCUCGACCAUUCCGAGGCUUACUGUACUAACCUCACACUUCUUACUGUUUCAUCUUUCGGGGUGUUGUGGUUGGUUGUGUUUGGGAUCUUGGUUUGUAGUAGGACAGCACAGGAGUGACGCAUUGGGAUAGCUGACAUGUCAGGUGGUUUUGGCAUGGUAAGCACGCAGCCUGUGGGAUAGGUAAAUCCGUUCCACGUGAGGGUGAGGUGUGAUGCGCGCUGGUUUUAUACUGGUGUUUUGGUGAUUCUUGGUGUCAAGAAAAUCUUCGGUGUGAGAGGAUAUAUCUGCCCGUACCCUAAACCGACACAGGUGGUCAGGUAGAGUAUACCAAAGCGAUCGAGCGAAUCCUGGUCAAGGAACUCGGCAAAUUACUCCCGUGCCUUCGGUAUAAGGGAGACCCUUGAUGGUGAAACUCUUUACGGGUGGAGCUUUUGGGGGUGGCACAGACCAGGGGGUAGCGACUGUUUACCAAAAACACAGGUGCAUGCGAAGACGUAAGUCGCUGUAUAUGCACUGACGCCUGCCCGGUGCCGGAAGGUUAAGAGGAUCCAUUAACCCUUUUGGGGUGAAGUGGUGAAUUUAAGCCCCGGUAAACGGCGGUGGUAACUAUAACCAUCCUAAGGUAGCGAAAUUCCUUGUCGGGUAAGUUCCGACCUGCACGAAUGGCGUAA
Molecule: ribosomal RNA, 2145 nt
Filed under: human vaginal metagenome
Description: bacterial LSU rRNA
Rfam family: Bacterial large subunit ribosomal RNA
Source: RNAcentral